GGGGAAUUUUGGACAAUGGGCGCAAGCCUGAUCCAGCAAUGCCGCGUGAGUGAAGAAGGCCUUCGGGUUGUAAAGCUCUUUUGUCAGGGAAGAAACGGUGGGAGCUAAUAUCUCCCACUAAUGACGGUACCUGAAGAAUAAGCACCGGCUAACUACGUGCCAGCAGCCGCGGUAAUACGUAGGGUGCAAGCGUUAAUCGGAAUUACUGGGCGUAAAGCGUGCGCAGGCGGUUUUGUAAGUCUGAUGUGAAAUCCCCGGGCUCAACCUGGGAAUUGCAUUGGAGACUGCAAGGCUAGAAUCUGGCAGAGGGGGGUAGAAUUCCACGUGUAGCAGUGAAAUGCGUAGAGAUGUGGAGGAACACCGAUGGCGAAGGCAGCCCCCUGGGUCAAGAUUGACGCUCAUGCACGAAAGUGUGGGGAGCAA
RNAcentral lists this ribosomal RNA (423 nucleotides) under uncultured bacterium. RNAcentral describes it as "bacterial SSU rRNA". It matches the Rfam family "Bacterial small subunit ribosomal RNA", at positions 356 to 771 of the family's 1533-position model. The record is from RNAcentral.